CCAGACUCCUACGGGAGGCAGCAGUGGGGGAUAUUGCACAAUGGGGGAAACCCUGAUGCAGCGACGCCGCGUGUGGGAAGACGGUCCUCUGGAUUGUAAACCACUGUCCCCAGGGACGAAGAUGACGGUACCUGGGGAGGAAGCUCCGGCUAACUACGUACCAGCAGCCGCGGUAAUACGUAGGGAGCGAGCGUUGUCCGGAAUUACUGGGUGUAAAGGGAGCGUAGGCGGGACUGCAAGUUGGGUGUCAAAUCUACCGGCUCAACCGGUAGCCGCACUCAAAACUGCAGUUCUUGAGUGAAGUAGAGGCAGGCGGAAUUCCUAGUGUAGCGGUGAAAUGCGUAGAUAUUCGGAGGAGCACCGAUGGCGAAGGCGGCCAACUGGGCUUUAACUGACGCUGAGGCUCGAAAGUGUGGGGAGCAAACAGGAUUAGAUACCCCAGUA
This 444-nucleotide ribosomal RNA is filed under the name uncultured bacterium. Its description in RNAcentral is "bacterial SSU rRNA". It matches the Rfam family "Bacterial small subunit ribosomal RNA", at positions 331 to 792 of the family's 1533-position model. The record is from RNAcentral.